RNAcentral lists this ribosomal RNA (253 nucleotides) under uncultured bacterium. RNAcentral's name for it is "partial 16S ribosomal RNA". It matches the Rfam family "Bacterial small subunit ribosomal RNA", at positions 524 to 776 of the family's 1533-position model. The record is from RNAcentral.
AACGUAGGAGACAAACGUUAUCCGGAGUUACUGGGCGUAAAGGGCGUGUAGGUGGUUUCGUAAGUCUGGCGUGAAAUUUUUCGGCUUAACCGGGAAAGGUCGUCGGAUACUGCGGAGCUAGAGGACGGUAGAGGCGUGUGGAAUUCCGGGUGUAGUGGUGAAAUGCGUAGAUAUUGGGAAGAACACCCGAGGCGAAGGCGGGUUGCUGGGCUGAUACUGACGCUGAGGCGCGAAAGCCAGGGGAGCAAACGGG